GACGAACGCUGGCGGCGUGCUUAACACAUGCAAGUCGAACGGAAAGGCCCUGCUUUUGUGGGGUGCUCGAGUGGCGAACGGGUGAGUAACACGUGAGUAACCUGCCCUUGACUUUGGGAUAACUUCAGGAAACUGGGGCUAAUACCGGAUAGGAGCUCCUGCUGCAUGGUGGGGGUUGGAAAGUUUCGGCGGUUGGGGAUGGACUCGCGGCUUAUCAGCUUGUUGGUGGGGUAGUGGCUUACCAAGGCUUUGACGGGUAGCCGGCCUGAGAGGGUGACCGGCCACAUUGGGACUGCGAUACGGCCCAGACUCCUACGGGAGGCAGCAGUGGGGAAUAUUGCACAAUGGGCGGAAGCCUGAUGCAGCAACGCCGCGUGCGGGAUGACGGCCUUCGGGUUGUAAACCGCUUUCGCCUGUGACGAAGUGUGAGUGACGGUAAUGGGUAAAGAAGCACCGGCUAACUACGUG
RNAcentral lists this ribosomal RNA (468 nucleotides) under uncultured bacterium. RNAcentral's name for it is "partial 16S ribosomal RNA". It matches the Rfam family "Bacterial small subunit ribosomal RNA", at positions 28 to 507 of the family's 1533-position model. The record is from RNAcentral.